Molecule: ribosomal RNA, 276 nt
Filed under: uncultured Bacillus sp.
Lineage: Bacteria; Bacillati; Bacillota; Bacilli; Caryophanales; Bacillaceae
Description: partial 16S ribosomal RNA
Rfam family: Bacterial small subunit ribosomal RNA
Source: RNAcentral
UACGUUAGUUGCUAACGCGUGAAGGCGAGCACUCUAACGAACUGCCGUUGACAAAACGGAGGAAGGUGGGGAUGACGUCAAAUCAUCAUGCCCCUUAUGUUCUGGGCUACACACGUGCUACAAUGGCCGGUACAGACGGACGCAAAGCCGCGAGGUGGAGCAAAUCCUAAAAAGCCGGUCUCAGUUCGGAUUGCAGGCUGCAAUUCGCCUGCAUGAAGUCGGAAUCGCUAGUAAUCGCAGGUCAGCAUACUGCGGUCGAAUACGUUCCCGGGCCUU